GACGAACGCUGGCGGCGUGCUUAACACAUGCAAGUCGAACGGAAAGGCCCUGCUUUUGUGGGGUGCUCGAGUGGCGAACGGGUGAGUAACACGUGAGUAACCUGCCCUUGACUUUGGGAUAACUUCAGGAAACUGGGGCUAAUACCGGAUAGGAGCUCCUGCUGCAUGGUGGGGGUUGGAAAGUUUCGGCGGUUGGGGAUGGACUCGCGGCUUAUCAGCUUGUUGGUGGGGUAGUGGCUUACCAAGGCUUUGACGGGUAGCCGGCCUGAGCGGGUGACCGGCCACAUUGGGACUGAGAUACGGCCCAGACUCCUACGGGAGGCAGCAGUGGGGAAUAUUGCACAAUGGGCGGAAGCCUGAUGCAGCAACGCCGCGUGCGGGAUGACGGCCUUCGGGUUGUAAACCGCUUUCGCCUGUGACGAGGCGUGAGUGACGGUAAUGGGUAAAGAAGCACCGGCUAACUACGU
RNAcentral lists this ribosomal RNA (467 nucleotides) under uncultured bacterium. RNAcentral's name for it is "partial 16S ribosomal RNA". It matches the Rfam family "Bacterial small subunit ribosomal RNA", at positions 28 to 506 of the family's 1533-position model. The record is from RNAcentral.